AUUGCUGCCGUUGCUGCUAACAUAUUACAAGGGGUGCCUAAUUCCAGUAACUUGUUACAGGACAUCCUUAGAUCUUCAUGUUCUGUAAUCAGCAGGUAAAGGUGAUGCAGGUUCUGAAUGCUGAUGCCAUUGUUGUGAAGCUGAACUCAGGCGAUUACAAGACGAUUCACCUGUCCAGCAUCCGACCACCGAGGCUGGAGGGGGAGAACACCCAGGAUAAGAACAAGAAACUGCGUCCCCUGUAUGACAUUCCUUACAUGUUUGAGGCCCGGGAAUUUCUUCGAAAAAAGCUUAUUGGGAAGAAGGUCAAUGUGACGGUGGACUACAUUAGACCAGCCAGCCCAGCCACAGAGACAGUGCCUGCCUUUUCAGAGCGUACCUGUGCCACUGUCACCAUUGGAGGAAUAAACAUUGCUGAGGCUCUUGUCAGCAAAGGUCUAGCCACAGUGAUCAGAUACCGGCAGGAUGAUGACCAGAGAUCAUCACACUACGAUGAACUGCUUGCUGCAGAGGCCAGAGCUAUUAAGAAUGGCAAAGGAUUGCAUAGCAAGAAGGAAGUGCCUAUCCACCGUGUUGCAGAUAUAUCUGGGGAUACCCAAAAAGCAAAGCAGUUCCUGCCUUUUCUUCAGC
RNAcentral lists this small RNA (630 nucleotides) under Pan troglodytes (chimpanzee). RNAcentral describes it as "processed transcript". Lineage: Eukaryota; Metazoa; Chordata; Mammalia; Primates; Hominidae. The record is from RNAcentral.